GGUGGUGCAUGGUUGUCGUCAGCUCGUGUCGUGAGAUGUUGGGUUAAGUCCCGCAACGAGCGCAACCCUUAUUAUCAGUUGCCAGCAUUAAGCUGGGCACUCUGGUGAGACUGCCGGUGACAAACCGGAGGAAGGUGGGGAUGACGUCAAAUCAUCAUGCCCCUUAUGACCUGGGCUACACACGUGCUACAAUGGAUGGUACAACGAGUUGCGAACUCGCGAGAGUAAGCUAAUCUCUUAAAGCCAUUCUCAGUUCGGAUUGUAGGCUGCAACUCGCCUACAUGAAGUCGGAAUCGCUAGUAAUCGCGGAUCAGCAUGCCGCGGUGAAUACGUUCCCGGGUCUUGUACACAC
RNAcentral lists this ribosomal RNA (352 nucleotides) under uncultured bacterium. RNAcentral's name for it is "bacterial SSU rRNA". It matches the Rfam family "Bacterial small subunit ribosomal RNA", at positions 1037 to 1390 of the family's 1533-position model. The record is from RNAcentral.